RNAcentral lists this ribosomal RNA (301 nucleotides) under uncultured bacterium. RNAcentral's name for it is "partial 16S ribosomal RNA". It matches the Rfam family "Bacterial small subunit ribosomal RNA", at positions 509 to 807 of the family's 1533-position model. The record is from RNAcentral.
CAGUCGCCGCGGUAAAACGUAGGGUGCAAGCGUUAAUCGGAAUUACUGGGCGUAAAGCGUGCGCAGGCGGUCAUAUAAGACAGAUGUGAAAUCCCCGGGCUCAACAUGGGAACUGCAUUUGUGACUGUAUAGCUAGAGUACGGCAGAGGGGGAUGGAAUUCCGCGUGUAGCAGUGAAAUGCGUAGAUAUGCGGAGGAACACCGAUGGCGAAGGCAAUCCCCUGGGCCUGUACUGACGCUCAUGCACGAAAGCGUGGGGAGCAAACAGGAUUAGAUACCCGAGUAGUCCCUGUCUCUUAUAC